RNAcentral lists this long non-coding RNA (510 nucleotides) under Vigna radiata. Its description in RNAcentral is "long non-coding RNA (VRAD_LNC002766)". The record is from RNAcentral. Lineage: Eukaryota; Viridiplantae; Streptophyta; Magnoliopsida; Fabales; Fabaceae.
GGGGACCUAAUUGACGCAAAUCUGCAUAAAUAGGGAUAUCUGAAUCAAUUAAACCUUUAUUUAUCGAUACUGCGAAAAACUCCUUUUCUCACUAAACAAAGCCUAAACCUUGGAGAAAGGAGAUAUCUUUUUUCAUACGCGAGAGAGGUAGAGAGGCAGAAUGCUACAACGCUUAUGGAGAAACAUUGGUAGAUGUCACUUUCGAUGUUCCAAUGGAUGAGAAAACAAGAGCAAAUUGCGAGAGGGAGACAAUGCAAAAAUGCGAAAACAAAAUGAGACAACAUAGAGAUGAAGAGAGAUUUUAGUGGAUGUCACGGUGGUCGGUGAGAAUGAUGGACAACUAAGAGACAACAGAAAGACUUGAGAUACAGAGAGAUUUCAAGUUGUUGAGAGGAAGAAGAUGAACUCCUUUUCUCGUUCCCAAAACACCCUCUGCAUAAGAUUUCAUUUCUGAAAAUAUUAUUUGAAAUGGACCAAUCAAAUGUCGCCACUUGGCGUUGUAAAAAAGUU